RNAcentral lists this ribosomal RNA (489 nucleotides) under Loma salmonae. RNAcentral's name for it is "SSU rRNA". It matches the Rfam family "Microsporidia small subunit ribosomal RNA", at positions 819 to 1302 of the family's 1311-position model. The record is from RNAcentral. Lineage: Eukaryota; Fungi; Microsporidia; Glugeidae.
GCGGCUUAAUUUGACUCAACGCGGGACAACUUACCGGGCCCGACGACCGUAAGAGUGUGACACACGAUAGGUCGAAGAGUGGUGCAUGGCCGUUAACGACGAGUGGAGUGAUCUUUGGGUUAAGUCCGUAAAUUAGUGAGACCUCAGCCGUAAGGGACAGGUGCGCAAAGCACAGGAAGGAUGGGUCAAGGACAGGUCAGUGAUGCCCUUAGAUGGUCCGGGCUGCACGCGCACUACAGUGGUCGCCGAAAUUACCUGAUAAUUAUAAAGGCGAUCGAGAGGGAAUGAGCUUUGUAAGAGGCUCAGGAACGAGGAAUUGCUAGUAAUCGCGGACUCAUUAAGACGCGAUGAAUACGUCCCUGUUCUUUGUACACACCGCCCGUCGUUAUCGAAGAUGAAGAUAGGCGCGAACGAUCUACCAGAAAGUGAGCGCAGGUUUUUAGAUCUGAUACAAGUCGUAACAAGGUAGCUGUAGGAGAACCUGUAGCU